AGUAUCAAUUGGUAAAUUUAUUUUUAAUAUUAAAUCUCUCCACUCUCUAUUUGACAUUUUUAUCAUAUAACCUACUAAGUCAAAACUAAUGCACAUUUUUUUUUCUAAUGCACUUUUUUUUUCUAUUCUACUCUAUAAAAUAAGUUUAGAUAAUAAAGGUUUUACUAUAUUAUAAUGAGAAAUAACAAAGAUCUCAAAAGGU
RNAcentral lists this long non-coding RNA (202 nucleotides) under Lathyrus oleraceus (garden pea). RNAcentral's name for it is "Pisum sativum (pea) long non-coding RNA (PSAT_LNC041040)". Lineage: Eukaryota; Viridiplantae; Streptophyta; Magnoliopsida; Fabales; Fabaceae. The record is from RNAcentral.